GACGAACGCUGGCGGCGUGCUUAACACAUGCAAGUCGAACGGUGAAGCGCCUUCCUUUUUGGUGGGUGUGGAUGAGUGGCGAACGGGUGAGUAACACGUGAGUAACCUGCCCCCUUCUUCUGGAUAACCGCAUGAAAGUGUGGCUAAUACGGGAUAUUCUGGGUCUGUCGCAUGAUGGGUCUGGGAAAGAUAUUGUUUCGGUGGGGGAUGGGCUCGCGGCCUAUCAGCUUGUUGGUGGGGUGAUGGCCUACCAAGGCGGUGACGGGUAGCCGGCCUGAGAAGGUGGACGGUCACACUGGGACUGAGACACGGCCCAGACUCCUACGGGAGGCAGCAGUGGGGAAUAUUGCACAAUGGGCGCAAGCCUGAUGCAGCGACGCCGCGUGAGGGAUGGAGGCCUUCGGGUUGUGAACCUCUUUCGCCAGUGAAGCAGGCCUGCCUCGUUUGUGGGUGGGUUGACGGUAGCUGGAUAAGAAGCGCCGGCUAACUACGUG
RNAcentral lists this ribosomal RNA (494 nucleotides) under uncultured bacterium. RNAcentral's name for it is "partial 16S ribosomal RNA". It matches the Rfam family "Bacterial small subunit ribosomal RNA", at positions 28 to 507 of the family's 1533-position model. The record is from RNAcentral.